GCUGGGCAUGGUGGUGCAUGCCUGUAGUCCCAGCUACUAUGGAGGCCAAGGCAGGAAAAUCACUCAAGCCUAGGGAAUUGAGAACAGCUGGGCAGUAUAGCAAGACCUCUUUA
RNAcentral lists this small RNA (113 nucleotides) under Marmota monax (woodchuck). Lineage: Eukaryota; Metazoa; Chordata; Mammalia; Rodentia; Sciuridae. The record is from RNAcentral.